UUUCUAUCUCCUCUCUCUCUCUCUCUGUCUAGCGUCUUCUCUCUUAGGUGUCUGAUGCGUGAGGUGAAGGAAUGGGCUUCCAGUGAACUAUCUAACACGGAGCACUAUGGCUGCCGUCGCAUCAUCCAAUUGGACACUAGUGGUGGUUGAGGAGAUCCCCAUCCAUACUCUUAUUGCUUAUUAUUGAGGGAGAUAAAUCCAGGAUUGCAGUCUCCACUGGCUGUUCAUUUUCCUUCUUCCUCAAGGACUGACUCAGAGAAAAGUUCAGGAUGCAGACCAUCCAGACUAUAGAGACACAGUUUCCCUUGUUGCGAGAGAUCUUCCACCAUUCUCCUUUCAGACAUCAAGACAGAGACAGAAGAAAGAGCAGCCUUACAAGCCUCAUCAGAAAACAAAAACAACUACAGAAAGGGUCUGAUUCUGAGCGCCAGUCAUGUGUGGCUUUACCGGGUCAAGCUGAGCAUCCCUGGUUUGGCCGGUCAUCCAGCAUACCGGGAUGCGAAUCACCAAAUCGGGCUUAUGGCCGAGUGAGAGAAAGGAAUCGAGAAGGAGAGAGAGAAAAUGCAAAAGGGAUAGAUGAAGUGCCACCCCCCUUCAUGUCUUCCAUCGAAGCGUCACAGGUUACAUCAUCGCAACAGCUGCUCCCAACCACAGAGAGAGAGAGUGAGGGAUUACAGUGUGAGGGACAGAGAAAAUGGGAGGGAGAGAAUAAGCAGCAAAGGCAGAAAGAGCAAGCGCUUCACCCAGAGAACAUUCGCUCUCGGCAUGGCCUGAUCGCUAAAGGGGUCCGCUUGCUGAGGAACAUGGGUAACCAGGAAGCCAAGCAAAGGAAGGCAGGUACAUCCAGGGCAGAGUGCCUCACAGAUAGGCAUGGAUUAGAUUACAAAGAUGCAAAGGACUCCAGAAAGACUUUGUCUCAGGACAAAGUCAGGAAAUCAUCUGCUGAAUUGGCUGAGAAGUCCAAGAUCAAGAGCUCCAAGAGUUCUGUCUUUUCCAACAUCCAGAUCUGGAAGGGAUUGUCCCAGAAGGCAGAAUCCAGAAACAAUG
Molecule: long non-coding RNA, 1047 nt
Organism: Ictalurus punctatus (channel catfish)
Lineage: Eukaryota; Metazoa; Chordata; Actinopteri; Siluriformes; Ictaluridae
Source: Ensembl